GAUGAACGCUAGCGGCAGGCCUAAUACAUGCAAGUCGAACGGUAACAUUCUCGCUUGCGAGAGAUGACGAGUGGCGCACGGGUGCGUAACGCGUAUGCAACCUACCCUUAACUGGAGGAUAGCCCGGAGAAAUUCGGAUUAAUACUCCAUAGUAUCACCAGAUGGCAUCUGAAGGUGAUUAAAGAUUUAUUGGUUAAGGAUGGGCAUGCGUGACAUUAGUUAGUUGGUGAGGUAACGGCUCACCAAGACAACGAUGUCUAGGGGUUCUGAGAGGAUGAUCCCCCACACUGGUACUGAGAUACGGACCAGACUCCUACGGGAGGCAGCAGUAGGGAAUAUUGGUCAAUGGGCGAGAGCCUGAACCAGCCAUGCCGCGUGCAGGAAGACGGCCUUCUGGGUUGUAAACUGCUUUUAUACAGGAACAAAUAGUCCAUGCGUGGAAAGUUGAGUGUACUGUAUGAAUAAGCACCGCUAACU
RNAcentral lists this ribosomal RNA (477 nucleotides) under uncultured bacterium. RNAcentral describes it as "bacterial SSU rRNA". It matches the Rfam family "Bacterial small subunit ribosomal RNA", at positions 28 to 502 of the family's 1533-position model. The record is from RNAcentral.